CCUACGGGGGGCUGCAGUGGGGAAUCUUGCGCAAUGGGCGAAAGCCUGACGCAGCAACGCCGCGUGGGGGAUGAAGGCUCUCGGGUUGUAAACCCCUUUCAGCAGGGACGAAAUUGACGGUACCUGCAGAAGAAGCCCCGGCUAACUACGUGCCAGCAGCCGCGGUAACACGUAGGGGGCAAGCGUUGUCCGGAUUUAUUGGGCGUAAAGAGCUCGUAGGUGGCUAAGUAAGUCGGGUGUCAAAUCCCCAGGCUCAACCUGGGUCUCCACCCGAUACUGCUUUGGCUAGAGUCCGGUAGGGGAGCGUGGAAUUCCUGGUGUAGCGGUGAAAUGCGCAGAUAUCAGGAGGAACACCAGCGGCGAAGGCGGCGCUCUGGGCCGGUACUGACACUGAGGAGCGAAAGCGUGGGUAGCAAACAGGCUUAGAUACCCCAGUAGUC
This 440-nucleotide ribosomal RNA is filed under the name uncultured Acidimicrobiales bacterium. Its description in RNAcentral is "bacterial SSU rRNA". It matches the Rfam family "Bacterial small subunit ribosomal RNA", at positions 338 to 795 of the family's 1533-position model. Lineage: Bacteria; Bacillati; Actinomycetota; Acidimicrobiia; Acidimicrobiales. The record is from RNAcentral.